UCCCAUUCACCACUGCCCCGACACCACUCACCGGCGCCCUCCCCCACAGCCCCUCUCUCCUCCGCUCACCUUAUCCCCACCACCGGGCGAGCUCCUCUCCUCCCCCUCGCCCCAGAUCGAGCAGCAGGUCUGGAUCCAUGGCCACGGCAGCGCGAGCGCUCCCCGUCAGAUCGCUUUCGUUCCCGAGCAGAGGAGGAGGCAAUGUUGCAUGGCUAGCUCGGUGGUCGCGGCGCUGUUCCGCAGCUGGUUCGCCUUCAGCUCGCCGGGGCGGAUGAGGUGAUUCAUUAGGGUUAGUGCCGCCGCCGCCCCAUCCCGCUCCGCAUCGAUGGGUCUCGGGCAAGCCACCCCUUCAUACUCUCUCUGUCCUGUCGCCUCCCAUAGUUCUUCCUCAACCACGAUCGGGGCGGGAUGGACCUGCAUAUCCGUCAAGGUAACUAGCGGGGUGGUGCUCACGGAUCGGGGCAUUAUGAGGUAGGAUCGAUUAUGUGGAUUGUAGCUCUGCAGCGGGCGUUUUGGACGGGAGUGAUAGCCAGGUUCUAUGCUUAUAUUUUAUCUCUUUUUUUAUAAGCUGCAAGUAAUUGCUAUCAUCAUAGACAUUAAGAAAGUAAAUAUAUACUCAUGCAUCAUCUUUUAGGAGAAUUUGAAUGUUAUUUCAAACCGUGAUGUGUUUGUUGGUGCCAUAUGGAUAGUAAAUGAUGCUACUAAGUUUAACAGAUAGUUGUAGAUAUAAAUAAAAUCAGGAGGUCACCAUUAUGUUGAUUUCAGAAUAAGCAUCAUGUCAGUCUUGUAAAUAUCUUUUGUGUUCUGCAGGCUAAUCAUACGCUCUCUUUUGUGCUAUAUUUGGCAAUCUUGUACUACUAUCUUGCAGGUUGUUGGGACAUUUACUCACCCCCAAAUAUGUUUGUUGGUUGAUACACAGGCUUCGGGAAACAAGUAGAAAGCUGCUGCUUUCAUUGGGGACCUAGAUCUUUGUGAGGCUUUUUAAAGAUCUUGACACAGUAUAUGAAAAUGAUUUUCAUAACUCGACAAUUUCGGUAUUUUGGUCAAUUGACUCGGGCUCUCUAAAAGGAUUUCAUAGUGAUUGCAAAGAAGCUUCAAAGCAGGUUCCUACAAUCUAAUACUAAUGGAAUUGGCCUUCAAAAUUGCAACCAAUAUUAGAGCUGGCGAACGAUUUGCAUUUUAUGUAUUCAUACCAAUGUGGCCUGAAGGAGUCCCUACCUCAGCCUCUGUGCAAGAAAUUCUUUUCUUUCAGUGGCUGUAAUGGAUUUCAAUUGCUGUAAAUUAAUUUUUUCAGCCUGUUCAAAGUGGCAGGCAUAUUUGGGCGUGACGGGAUUCUCAUGCACUCAUCCGGCGAGAUCCUCCUGAUGAACAAGCGCGGCGUCUUCAUGAACAGCCUGCAAACGGGGGCAUGUUACUACCUGGUACUCAUAUCGAUCUAAUUAAUCUACUUCAUAUUUAGCCGGUUAGAAGAAUCAAGAUCUCUGUAUAUGUAUGCAAGGCAAUAAAAGAAGCGUGCAUUUCUUAUCAAGCUUCAAUGAGAACGAUCUUGUCGUGAUAAUCGUAUCAGUGUGCAAUGUUGUUCUUGCUUUCUUUGUUGAUAUCAGCUUACAGUUACUGGGAGAAAUAAAUUAUCAAAAUGUUCAUGUACAGUGUCAUUAUACCGACAUUGGCUACCUAGCAUAACUCUUAUCAUCUUAAACUAAGUUCUAUAAUUAGAUUAUUGAUUGCUUA
Long non-coding RNA from Triticum aestivum (bread wheat), 1731 nucleotides. RefSeq lists it as uncharacterized. The transcript has 5 exons. The record is from RefSeq and is a predicted model, not a curated record. NCBI's taxonomy places the organism in Eukaryota, Viridiplantae, Streptophyta, Magnoliopsida, Poales, Poaceae.